RNAcentral lists this ribosomal RNA (134 nucleotides) under Libellula quadrimaculata. RNAcentral's name for it is "partial 12S ribosomal RNA". The record is from RNAcentral. Lineage: Eukaryota; Metazoa; Arthropoda; Insecta; Odonata; Libellulidae.
UACGUGAGGGGGAAGUGAAUAUUAUUGGGUUAACAGUUAAAUUUAUUAUUCCUUUAAUUCUAAAAUUUUUGGGUGAAAUUUUAAUUUUAUUUUAAUAGGUUUAUAUGAAGCUGUGAAAUUUAUUUUAAAAACAA